AUUGAACGCUGGCGGCAUGCUUUACACAUGCAAGUCGAACGGUAACAGGUUAAGCUGACGAGUGGCGAACGGGUGAGUAAUGCAUCGGAACGUGCCCGAUCGUGGGGGAUAACGCAGCGAAAGCUGCGCUAAUACCGCAUACGAUCUGAGGAUGAAAGCGGGGGACCGUAAGGCCUCGCGCGAUCGGAGCGGCCGAUGUCAGAUUAGGUAGUUGGUGGGGUAAAGGCUCACCAAGCCAACGAUCUGUAGCUGGUCUGAGAGGACGACCAGCCACACUGGGACUGAGACACGGCCCAGACUCCUACGGGAGGCAGCAGUGGGGAAUUUUGGACAAUGGGCGCAAGCCUGAUCCAGCAAUGCCGCGUGCAGGAAGAAGGCCUUCGGGUUGUAAACUGCUUUUGUACGGAACGAAACGGUGAUCUCUAAUACAGAUUGCUAAUGACGG
This 445-nucleotide ribosomal RNA is filed under the name uncultured bacterium. Its description in RNAcentral is "bacterial SSU rRNA". It matches the Rfam family "Bacterial small subunit ribosomal RNA", at positions 30 to 475 of the family's 1533-position model. The record is from RNAcentral.